This is a non-coding RNA of Rattus norvegicus (Norway rat), 10767 nucleotides long. Lineage: Eukaryota; Metazoa; Chordata; Mammalia; Rodentia; Muridae. The record is from RefSeq and is a predicted model, not a curated record.
CGGCAUGGCAACUCCGGCUAUAACUCCUGUCAGCUGCUGCUGGGAUGAAAGCAAAGCUACCUCUCACCAGCUGCAGCUCGCCCUCAACAGAGAGCUGGUCUAGCCACACAGCACACAGACAUCCGUCUCUCCUACUUCGCCCAUUUUCCAGCCUUUUAAAAGUACGAAAACCACUCUGGGACUGCCAGCCAUUGAAAAACGAGUCCUAUCUGUGAAAGGGACCGCAGCUCAAGUAUGGAUUUCUGGCUACUCCACAGGAAGAGGAGGAAGGAUCACUUGAGAAGAUAGCAAGCCGCCUGUAUUUACAAAGAAAUCAAACUGCAGGUAAAGGGGUGGCGCUGUGUCAGGAAGAUCUCAGGGAUUCAUUGAAAGGGGAAGGAGGAGCCCAGCAGAAGGACGCUAACUAUUAAUCCCAAAACUUAGGAGGCAGAAGCAGGUUCAUCUCUCGAGUUUGUGGCCAGCUUGGUCUUCUAGGACAGCCAGGGCUAAACAGAGAAAAUCUGUCUUUAGGAAGACCCCUUUUCUUGGCCCUUGGCACUUCCCAGAACUUCCUGGACACUUUCCAUCUCCUUCCCUAAACUGUCGCAGUUUCUCCACUUGCUGCACAAGUUCUGGUGCAGGGCUAGCAGGCGUGCAGGGCUCGCAAGGCCCCGCUUGGCCGCCAGAGGGCGCUUAGCCUCCGCCCGGGGAAAUAGCUGGCCAGGCAUAUUGCAUGUGUGUUUAAGUGUGUGUUCUUUAAAUACGGCGCCUGCAUCUCGGGGCCUCUCCCCCAGCAUGUUUCUUAUCCUGUUCGCAUCUAUCUAAUAGAGAAUUUAGCCGAGGCUGGGAUGAGGUUAACUUCAGCGCAGGUGGGACGAGCAGGGUUUAUGCACCAACGCAGAGCGGUUUCGUAACGCCCCCGGCUGAGGUGCCCUAGACCGAGUUGGACCAACGAUUAUAGGGAGGACAUUGUGGGGAUCGCGACCCCAGAGCUUUACGUAGCGAAAGUUAUGAAAACCUCAAGACCAGUGCCCUCUGGGAGGUCUCUAGGGACACCUUAGGAGUUUCCGAUUGAUAACUUGUUUCAGUUCUUGAAAUUAAAAACAAAGCCGGGCGUGGCUGUGCACUCCUUUAAACUCCGGAGGCAGAAGCUGGUAGAUCGCGGAGUUUGAGGCCAGCCUGGUCUACACAGCGAGUUCCAACACAGCCAGAGCUACACAGAGAAACCCUGCCUCGGGUGCUCAGGCGCGGGGACUGGGGGCAGGGACUGGGGUCUGGGGUACAUCAGCAGCCUAGGGAGAUGUCUCAGUCACAAUUCCCCAGCAGGAAGCUGCAGCACGUUGGAGUCUCCUGGGAUUGGCAGAGUUAAAAUCAUUCAACCCAGGAUGCCCUGGGCUUGUUUUGUUUUGUCCAACUCUGACAAUGGGAUUAGGAACGGGGUAGAGAGGGCUAGGAAGGCAAGAAGCUGUGCUCGGAUGCAUCCUUAGGGUGGGGGUGUGGAGAAGUCGGUGUUCAGUCACUGGGUGUAUAUAAAGGAUGCAGCCCUGUCUGUGAGCAGUCUGUGCGGUGUGUUCCGGAAAGAUCUAAGUGUGGCAGAGGGCUAGAGCUCAGAGCUAGCGGUCUAACCCAUGUGUAAGAGUGAGUGCCUUCUGUGCGUUCAGCAAGUCCUUAAUUACCCAGGGAGGCCUUCUGAAACCGGAACUCAGUAUUGGUCCCUAAAAGGUUGGGUAAUGGGUUUUCCUUACUUCUGAAAUCCAAGGGGACCAAUCUCCAGUUCCCCAGGGCUCCCAGACUCUUCGGGAUGUCUUUGUCUUCUAAAAUCCUGGGCUCCCACAAGAGAGCACUUAGUUAAGGACACAGAGAUGCUGCUUACCCUUCAACCUAUUAAUCAUCCUGAAACCUUUGCUAGGAAUUUCCUGCUCCUUGAUCCAACCUCCUCAGCUGCGCUGCUAACUCGGACCUAGGAAGGGAAUGCUUAGACUUGCACACCCCUGUCAAUCUUCCAUUUACCCCGCCCAUACUCCUGUCCACAGCCAGCCCCUAGGGAUGCUCUGGCUUCCCUCUCCAGCCCUGCAGUAGCCAUCCUGAGAUGGCCCCAUCGUCACACCCUGGGUUUCAGUGUUACUUCUCCGGUGAGUGUUUAUAUCAAAUCCAGUGUGUGCACAGAGUGCCCCAGGCCAGCACCCACCUUUCAGCACCAUUUGGAGCUGUGAGCCUCACACAAGCUAGGAAGGCCCUCUACCAGUGUACUACAACCCAAGCCUAGGAUUUAAAAAAUAUUUGUGGGAGGGGGGAGGGGGAUGUUUGCCCGGAAACUGGGAAAGGGAAUAACACUCGAAAUGUAUAUAAGAAAUACUCAAGUUAAUAAAAAAAAAAAAUGUUUGUGUAUGUCGGCUUUAAGGGUCGAAUAUCAGAUAUCCUGCAUAUCAGAUAUUUACCUUAUAGCUCCUAACGGCAGCAAACUUACAGUUAAAAAGUGGCAACAGGAAUAAUUGUAUGGUUGGGGGUCACCAAGCAUGAGGAACUAACUGUACUAAAGGUUGCAGCUUUGGGAAGGUUGAGAACCACUGGUAUAUGUAUUUAUAUGUGUAGGUGUGUGGUGUCUGUGUGCUCAUGUGGGUGCAUGUGUACAUGUAUGUAAGUACCAGAGGAGGCCAGAUCCACAAUAUUCCUCCAGCACUGUCCUCUGGAGACCAGGUCCCUGUGAGGAUCACCAUGGACUGUCAACUUGACAGAACUGGAUGGAAUCACGCAGGAAGCAUGCAUACCUUAGAGGUAGUCUUGAUUGACAUGGAAGGUUUCGUGGUUCUCUGGGCUUGGGUCCUGGGCUGCAUAAACAGGAAGACGCUACCUAACCCUGAAUAUCCAUCCCUUUCUUUUCUUCGCUGACUGCAUUAGCAAUGUGACCAGCUCCUUGAAGUUCUGCUGCUCCCCCACCGUGGUGGAAGGGUAAAUUAAUAUGUUGCUUUUGUCAGGGUGGACUGUCAGAUCAUCAAGGCAAGGAGACCUAGCGAUUCAGCCAGGCCUGGUGACCAGUGAGCUCGAGGGAUCUCUCUACCUGUCGCCAUCCCCCCAGGCGGUGACAGAUGUGCUGUAGCAAUUUUAGUUCAGUGGUGGGGAUCAGAACUCAGGUCCUUAUGCAUGCGUGGCACGCUCUUUCCCAAGUAAGACAUCUUUCCCUACUUCUGUAUUUUAUAUCUUAAUAGGAAGAGCAGAAUAGAUACGAAGUUAAACUGUUUUAUAUGAUGGUGAGUAUAUGAAGAAAUUAAAGUAGGCUGUAUAUAAUGAGUGGCCCGUGCCUGAAAUCCCAGAGCUUGAAGGUUGAGGUUGGGAGAUUGAGAAUUUGAGUACAGCCUGGGCUACAUGGAAAUUCUGGAGAAUGGGAACAGGGCAGGAAAAGGUGGGGGAGGUGAAAGGAUAAGGGGAAAGGGCUAACCCACACUAAUAUUAUAGGACUAAGGUGCAAUGCUGGUCUGGAAGAUGCCCCCUGUGACCUUACCAGCAAGAAGAUAGCCGUCAAGAUCUGUGGAGAGAUGCUCCAACAGAAGAAACAGUAAGGACACAAGUCCUGAGGCAGAAGUUACUGAGAGGAAAUCGGGGGCUGUGGAUGGCGCUGCACUUGGUUUUACACUGUGGGGUAUUGUCUGAACAGUGACCAGCACCUGUAGUCCCAGCAUGUGGUCACAUCAGUUUCUCAGCCUCUUACCCCAAGAACCACUCAGGCCACGCUUAAACACCUUUACCUUCUGCCUGGCCCAGUCCCAGCACGUGGAAGGCAGAGGCAGAAAUAUCCAGAGUUCGAGGGCCUUGUUACUUGCACAUACAGCUUCUCUUCUGGGUGUUCCAGGGCACAGGGCACCUUUAAUGCCAGGGACACACUGGAGGGUUCUUGAGUUCUCUGCUUCUGUGUUCAAGUCCUAAACGGUAACACCUGCCGGCACCUAUAAACUGUAGCCCUUCGGGGUAGCAACAAUGUCACCAAGAUAAGCCACAAUGUUUCCCUGACUCUUGGACUCCAGGGCCAUGCAUCAGGCCAGAGAACUCCAAAGCCAGGGAGUGCCUGGGGGAAUAAAUCCAGGAAGGAGACCCUAGGCAGGCAGAGCUUUAGGCCUAAUGUGUUGAAUUCAUUAGGUUCCAAAUCUUUACAGCCUUGCCAAGCCCUGUGGGGAAAGAUCAGCUGCAAAGUUCUCUCAGGAAAGCACCAGGCGCUGAGCUGGUCCCAGUCUGACUUAGAAGCAGUUAGGGGUCAGAGUUGUUUCAGGUUGGCAUAUUGUUCUUUGCUCAGUCUAGGGGAUAGCCAGCAGACUCUUGCAGUCAGUGCCACCCUUGCCCCUGGGCUGUGCAGAAGUGAAGGCAGGACACAGGGCUGAGGAGGAAACCGGAAGCACCUCCCUCCCACGCUGCAGGACAACCAUACAAAGGGCCUCCUCUGCGGCCAUGCAGGAUGGGCUGGGCUGGCAGGGGAGGGCUGAGAUUGUCGCCCAGUGCAGGGCCAGGACAGCUGCAAAUGAAACACAGGCCUAGAGCACUCAGGGAGGCAGGCAUCCAUCUUUCCCGGAGCCAAGAAAUCCCGGCCAAGAGCUCAGCUCCAGAGCGAGGAAAAGCACCAGGCAAUACUUGAAACCAAGCAAGCCCCCUGGAAAUGUUGGAUUCCUGACAGGUAAAGAGCCAAGCCAAGGGCUUUUUUCCUGCUGGCCCAAGCACAAAAGCCAAGGACUCUGGAGAAGUGGGAGAUCAGCCUGGAGGGGACUCGGCAAACAGAAGAAAGCUCUUGAGGCCAGAAAAGAUUCGCCCCCCUCAGAUCCCAAUGCUCAUAUCCAGUCAGUGUGGAGGAAGGGACACUUGGUGUCACAAACCUUCAAGGCCACCUCCUGGUGGAGGCUCCAGCGACAGGCGCCAUGGCAGUGUGGUAUGUAUGGGGCAUGGUUACAAGGCCCAGUGUCCACCUGAGGUAGGGUAGUGUGUAAGGAAGUGGUUGAUACCACUCCCAUCCUGUGGAGGGAGUGACCCCUAAAGUAAGGUUGGAUGUAGCUUGAUUGAUUCUUUGUUGUGUUAGAUUUCUUUUUCUUUCUCCUGAGACAGAGUUCCUCUGUGUAGCCUUGGCUGUGCUAGAACAUACUCUAUAGACCAGGCUAGCCUCAAACUCAGAGCUCGGCCUGUCUCUCUGCCUCCUGGGUGCUGGGAUUAAAGGCAUGGGUCGCCACCAUCUGGUUUAGAUCUUGUUUAUUUUUUUAAUGCUAGGGGUAGUACCGUUGGUUUCAAAUAUGCUAAGCACACAUUCUCAAUGAAGCUUCACCCUUGGUGCCUGGGGCUUCAUCCCAAAGGAAUCUAUCUGCACAGCAGCACAUGAUGGGUAAAAUCAAUGAACACACAAAGGAGUGUGCACUUUUAUCUCUAUUACCUGUCAUGUGGAGGGAGGGUACUUUUCUAACGUUCUAAAAUUAAGCUGGACAUGGUGCCCUGUGUCUGUAAUCCUAUCCCUAAGGAGGUAGAGGCAGAAGGAUCGGGAAUUCAAGGACAGCCUGGACUGUCUCAAGAAAAAAAGGGGGGGGGCGGGUUUCUAAAAUUAAAGAAUAAAAGAAUUCUAUGUGAGGAUGGGCUCGCUGUCUCAAUCCUCUUUAUUCUUUGCUAGAUCUUGAAGAAAAAGAUAAAAAGGAAAUAUGCGACAAAAUGACAGCUUUUAAAGAAUAAUAGAAAGAAAAGAAAACUCUUCCUUCUGAACAUAAGAGUAGCACAUGCUGUAUGAAAAGGAAUUUGGGGGUCAAAGGUCACCUGUCAUUUGUCUCCCUGAAGGCACUGAUGUCACAUUUCCUGUACAUGCAGAUAGAUUUUGGGGAGGGAGGAGUUUGAGACAGGAUUUAUCUGAGUAACACUAGCUAUCCUGAAACUUACUCUGUAAACCAGGCUCGUCUCUUGGAACUAAAGGCAUGUGUCACCACCACACUUGGCUCAGGUAAAUGUUUUUACAUGAGAUGGAGCUGUUAGAACGAGGGCAGGAGGCAUCUCUGGAGAGCCGUGCUUGCCAUGAGCCUUCUUCCUGCCCCUUUUUCUGAACGUAACCCUGAGCUGGCCUGGUCUGGCCUGGCCUGGCCUGGUUGGUUGCCCUUUGUCCCAAGAGAGGAAAGGUUACUAGUUGGCUAGGUAACCUGGUGUUAAUUGUUAACCUGACAGAAUCUGGAGUCACCGGGGAGCUGGGGGAGUAGGGGUUCUUUUGAUUCUGUUCAUUGGUGUGGGAAGCCCUGAGUUAAUUGUGGGUGGGACCUGAGCUAUGUAAGUAGAAAAGGAGAGUUGAGCAUGAGUGUGCACCUUUGCACGCCCUUCCUGGUCAUGGAUGGGACGUGAUUAGCUCCCUCAGGAUCCUGCCAUGGAUGUCCCUGCUAUGACAGGGUCUAACCUGGAACCGUGAGCCAACGCCAAUCCCUUCUCCCUUAAAACAGUGGAUGAGAAUGGGCAGAGAGCCACCUUCAAUGUCUGCUCUGUCUUGGUCUGUAGAGGCAGUGACCCUGCUCAGGAAAGAGAUCACGGGCCUGGGGUUGUAACUAGGUGCUGAAGUGCUUAAAUGAAGUGCACAGAGGGCCCUGGGUUCACUGCCGCCGCCCCCCUCCCACUGUUGUAGAUACACGGAGGUGGGGAGGGACAGAGAGCAAGAAGAGAGGAGGGAGGAGAGGCUCCUGUUUCUUCAUUCCCAGAAUCCACCACUCUAUGAGUUCCUGGUGGGCAGAAUGGUGUCGGUCAUGUUUGGUCUAACUCCAGUUGAACACGGUUGGGGAGAUUCUCCUGGGGAUAGAGUCCUGACCCCACUGUGGAGUACACUAGGUGUGACAGUAGUUCUAUUCCAUCCCUCCAUGCUGAGUGCCCUUUGUGGAUACCCACAGAGCCACUUGCUUCUUGGGGUCGAGAGCCCAGUAUCCCUAGUGCCUCCUCCCCACUCCCGUCUCCUGUGUUUGUGUCCAUCUAUCCUGUUGCCCUUGCCCUGCACCUGGCCCCAGAAUCCACUUACUUGAUGAAACUCUUAAAACUGAGUCACUGAAGCAAUGCUUUAGGGACUGGGGCUUCACACCAAGAGCCAGCCCCACCAUGCCAGACGUAUGAAUGUACCAUCCUCAGCCUCAGGUCAAGCUCAGAUGCCUGCAGCUCCUGAGAGUCUCCGAACCAGAGCUGCCAAACUGGGUUCUGGAAUGGGCCACGCACAGAAACUGUGAUGUAACACAGUCCACUCCUAACAGGCACAGUGAUGUACAACCCAGCUACUUAGGAGCCCCAAGGCAAGAGGACCGUUUACGUCCAGGAGUUUGAAGCCAGCCUGCACGACAGAACAGCACCCCAGCUCGUUGAACCGCUUAAUUUAGGGCUAAUUAAUUACACAGUAGAGAGGAGUGAACUCUUGAUUGCUACUGUUCCUUCUGGGGUCAGUACGCCAGGAGAAACCAUCCAGAAAAGAAGAGGCCCCAUGAGUUAGGUGGGGGUACAGUGCUAAUAAAAGGGCCACUUCGCCCCACAGUGGGCCUAGGACCUCGUGAACCAGUCAGUCCUGAGGCUUAAUGCCAGUGUGUGCUUCAGAAGGGCUCAGAAGGGAUACCUGGCCCCAGAGAUGCUCACUCAAGGACUCGGGUGACAAAGCACCAACGUGGAUCAUGUGGCUCAUGACCUAGCGCAGGCCCUGUGUCUGGAGUGAGCUGAGGACUGUGUUCUUGAGUAGUUGCUUGUCUUGUUGCUAUGACAAAACUGACAGAAGCAGUUUAGCGGUUGAAGGGUUACCUUUUGCCACGGUUUCUGGGGAUACCAUCUACCUAGUAGGGAUGGUUGGGCAGUAGGAAAGAUAUCAGCCACAUUACGUCCACAGUCAGGAAGCAGAAAGCCAUGGAGGUUCUUGCUUAUCUAGCUUUCUCCCUUUUAUGCAAUCCAAGACCCCAGCCCACAUGAGGGGAAGGGUUCCCACCUAAUCCUACCUAGAAAAUCCUUCACAAAUACGUCCAGAUCUUUGUCCAAGAUGUUCUCAAUUCUGUCAAGCUAGCAACCAACUGAACCAUGGCCCUUUCACUACACGAAGUAAGAACUGGGGGGAAGCAGCUUGGUGGUGUAGUCCUGGCCUAGGAGGCCUGGAUUUUGUCAGCCUUUAUCAGUCUAUGAUUAACCCUGCCCUUCCCAUGAGGACAAGCAGAAGUACCUGCUGUGUGGCCUCCUCCUGAGAGCUGACCGGACCAGCACAAGACAGUACAUUUCUUCUGCUAAUGGGAGCUCAUGUCUAAGAUGUCUUUACCCCUCCCCUCUCUGUCCCUGAGGUUCUGGGAAGUCAGCCCUCUUCUCAGUCUCUAGGCUUUCCUGGUUGUUUCUGAGGCGGAGCGCCCCAGAAACAGGUGGCCACAGGGCAGCUGAGAAAGAGGAAGCAACCAGACCGAUGCAGCCCAAACAGGCUUCUCAGCCAAAGACGGGAAGACCCCUCAGAGCGAGCAGACACCCUGGGAGACAUGGGAUACCUGGAGGUGGGUCUAGGCGGGUGGGCCUACCCAUGGUCUUCUUUCAGUGCCGGCAGUCACCGUGACCCUUCCCCUGCGCAGGAAGUUUGCUACAAAACACAGAUUGUUUGCACACUGUGGACUACUUUGUUUCAUUUUUGCUGUCUUCCUCUCUUUUGGUUUAUUCAUUUCUCUGCUGGGUUUGUCACUUAAGAAGUCAAGGUCACCGGCCUCCCCAUACCCACGAGUGACAAUUUCCAUUUCCAACCCUCCACCGGAAGCAGUGCUGCGCUUGGGUUGGAUGUUACAGGGGCUCUGCAGAGGCCCCAUAGAUCACGAAGGAAAUGAAUCAGCCCAGUUGCUUUUGGGUUUUCUUGUUGCUGCUGCCUGUUUUUCACAAGUCUUUCCUGAGCAGUGCCUUUCAUGUUAAACAUUAACAUCAACUUCCAAGUCCCAAAGAACAUUGCACUGCUCCGUGCACUGCCCAGAGGGUGAAUAAAGAAACCCACGAUGAACGAGUUAAUUCUGAGCUUCUUGGACAUCAUUAUACCAGGAUGCGUGUGGUGCUGCACGUCUUCAAUCUGAGCACUGAGAGGCGGAGGACGGGUGGAGCUCUGUGAGUUUGAAGCCAGCCUGGUCUACAUACAGGUCCUGUGAUGAUCUUUCCAUUGAUGCUAUCAACCAAGGAGGAACACCUUGACUUUCCUUAGGAGUCUGUUGCCCCCCAAUGGUCGCCAGCAGUUCCCGUGGUCCACGGGACAGCCAGCAUGAGGCCAUGUGAAAUCCAGCCUGAGACUGUGCCUUCUUCCUUGGCAUGAGGGUGGUAUCUGCUGUGGCCACUGCUUUGGUGACUAUCUUCCUGCCAAGCGCCUCCAGCUACCUCCUUCCACCUACUUGUGCUUCUUUCUCCUUUCUGUCUCAUGCCAGCUCCCUCAGUGGAAAGACUGAGUGUCCUUAAAGGAUCCUUCCUCAGCCCCUGACACCCAGGAACCUACUCAGCUUAAAAACAGCCUUCUUCAGCCUGCUGCCUGCUGCCUCCUCACCGAGAACUGGAGGCUUCCAACUAGGGUGCCUCCCCCUUAACCCACACAUCCUUAGGCGACUGAGCCUGAGCGGAGUGAAAGGUUCUCUCUGACAUGGUUAGCAGAGGCUCAGAGCUUACAGAAGUUACUGACUAUACAGAAAUGCCAUGAGAACGGCAUGCAGGAAGAACCAAUUACAGGGUGGCCUGGGGGCUCUCUCCCUGUGUGCACCCGGCACACUGAGAGGUGUCAGUGUAGUGGUAGACAGUGAUAUAGAUGAAGAUAUCAGCUGAGAAUGAGGGGAAGAGGAGGCCUACUGAGCACAUAGAGAGACACUGUCUAAAGUUAAAUAAAUAAGUCCUAUUCAUGGUAGUACGCACUUGUAAUUUUAGAGCUGGGAGGUAGAGGCAAGGUCUGUCCUACCCACAGCAGUGAUUUGAAUGGGAAUGGCCCUAAUAGACUCCUGUAUCUGCACACUCAGUCCUCAGCUGGAGAACUGUUUGAGAAGGAUUAGGAGGUGUGGCCUUGGAGGAGGAGCGUAACUAAGGGUGGGCUUUGGAGGUUUCAAAGCCUAAGCCAGGCCCAUUCUUUCUCCCUUUCCCUCUCCCCCUCCCCCUCCCCUUCUCUCUCCCUUUCCCUCUCCUUUCUCUCUCUCCCGACCUACAGAUCAGAUUGUAGCUCUCCUCUACUACUGCUCCAGCACCAUACCUGCCUCCUCGAGGCCAGUGUGCUCCCCACCAUGAUGAUGAUGGACUAACCCUCUGAAAUUGUAAGCAAUGCUCCGAUUAAAUAUUGCCCUUUAUAAGAGUCGCCUGGGACAUGAUGACUCUUCACAAUAAGAGGUCAUCUUGAGGUGAGAUCACCCAUGUGAUGAGUUCAAGUCCAGCCUGAGCUACAUAAGACCCUAUCUCAAAAUGGAAUCAGCUACUCAAACACAUGACAUACGUAGCAAGUGUCUAGAGUCCAGCCCACAGUAAUCUACGAACAUACUCGUUUCCUAAAUUGUAGUGUUUUGGGGAUGAGAACUAUCCCCUAGAGGCUCAAGGAUUUGAACUUGGUCCCCUGUGGUUUUGGGGUCAUUUAAGAUACAAAGCCUCCAAAGUUUUGGAGGACGUAUGUCACUGGGGGUGGACUUGGAUAUUACAUAGGCUCACCCCAUCCGCAACUCACUCUCCUGCUUUGUACUUGUGGUAGAGAUAUGAGCUUUCAAUUUUCUGAUCCGGCCACCAUGCCUACCUGCUGUCAUGCCUCCCAAUGAUGAAUUCUUACUCUCUGGAACAGAAGCCCAAAUAAAUUCUUCUCUCUAUAAA